CCAAACCCCAAGGAUCAUUUUUCCAAGAGUCGAUGAUGACUCAUUUCAUAAUUCCAUAUUUUCUCAGGUCAAUCUUGCAGAUGAAGCUAACGCCAUUAUAUUGAUUAUGCAAUUUAAGUAGCUGUUUAUAUAUAUGCCUUUGUGUGUGUGUAGGAUACAUCCAUAUGAUUGUAUUAUUUAAUAUUCGUUAUUUGUUCCUUUUUAUGUCUAUAUGUUUGAUUUGAUUAUUUGGUGUGUACCACAAACAUUGGAGUUUAAUGAUGUUCAUUUGAAAGCUGCUUAA
Molecule: long non-coding RNA, 283 nt
Organism: Neltuma alba
Lineage: Eukaryota; Viridiplantae; Streptophyta; Magnoliopsida; Fabales; Fabaceae
Exons: 2
Source: RefSeq, a predicted model, not a curated record